This is a non-coding RNA of Podarcis lilfordi (Lilford's wall lizard), 74 nucleotides long. Lineage: Eukaryota; Metazoa; Chordata; Lepidosauria; Squamata; Lacertidae. The record is from the annotation of a GenBank genome assembly.
GAAGGCCAAUAGCUCGGUGGCAGAGUAUCUGAUUUGCAUGCAGAAGGUCUCAGGUUCACUCCCUGGCAUCUUCA